Molecule: ribosomal RNA, 506 nt
Filed under: Escherichia coli
Lineage: Bacteria; Pseudomonadati; Pseudomonadota; Gammaproteobacteria; Enterobacterales; Enterobacteriaceae
Also listed under: 3 other names
Description: bacterial SSU rRNA
Rfam family: Bacterial small subunit ribosomal RNA
Source: RNAcentral
CCGUGAGACAGGUGCUGCAUGGCUGUCGUCAGCUCGUGUUGUGAAAUGUUGGGUUAAGUCCCGCAACGAGCGCAACCCUUAUCCUUUGUUGCCAGCGGUCCGGCCGGGAACUCAAAGGAGACUGCCAGUGAUAAACUGGAGGAAGGUGGGGAUGACGUCAAGUCAUCAUGGCCCUUACGACCAGGGCUACACACGUGCUACAAUGGCGCAUACAAAGAGAAGCGACCUCGCGAGAGCAAGCGGACCUCAUAAAGUGCGUCGUAGUCCGGAUUGGAGUCUGCAACUCGACUCCAUGAAGUCGGAAUCGCUAGUAAUCGUGGAUCAGAAUGCCACGGUGAAUACGUUCCCGGGCCUUGUACACACCGCCCGUCACACCAUGGGAGUGGGUUGCAAAAGAAGUAGGUAGCUUAACCUUCGGGAGGGCGCUUACCACUUUGUGAUUCAUGACUGGGGUGAAGUCGUAACAAGGUAACCGUAGGGGAACCUGCGGUUGGAUCACCUCCUUA